UAGUAGUUAUAUAUCAAUUAAAAAUAUUAAAUUUACAUCAUACUGAAUUAAUUAAAUUGAAUCUGAAUCCAAUCUAAUCCACUCAAAGAAAGGAGAUGGAGACAGAAGGAAAAUUAGUUGGUGAAAGUGUGGUCUAAUAAUAAGAUUUGGAGGGAAAAAAUGUAUCAUGGCGGGAUAACUUAUUGGCGCAAUUUUUCAGAGGUCCAAUCUGGUCUGUAUGUCAGUGUCAGAAUCUGAGUGGUAGAUAAUUUUUUUAACUUCCUGAUCCCAGUCAGAUAACCAUAAACAUAGUUGUCAUUUCAAAAAAUAAAAUAAAACAAAAUACCAUAAACUUUUUUUCUAUUUUAAAUUUCUACCCGUUUUCUUACAUAAAGACAGUGUGGUUCGUAUACUUUCAGUUAAAAAAGUAUGGUAAAAAGUGCAUAUUACUUGUAUUUCAGAAUAAUCAUUCACUGUAUACUAUAAUAUUACUGUUCCUUUAAUUGUUUUUAUUAAUAAAUCAUACAUUGAUUAACUACUUAAACAUACAAAGCUAAGCAACAAUUUCAUUUAAUUUAUCAAUUACCUGUUUAUAUUAUUUAAUAUAGUUAGUCCUCAACAUGUUUUUUUUUUCUAAUUGAGAUGGUGGUAUUAUCCAACAUUUUGAUGGGGAAAGAAGCCAGUAAUCCACAUCCAAUUAGGGGAGAAAAACAUUCUUUAACAGAGUAUUGUAAAUAUCCUGCCUUAACCUAUAAAUUCUAAAGGCUAAAAUUUUGAUCCAGAGAUGAAAUUAAACACUGAACUCGAAAUAACAUGAAAUGGAACAUGUCACUACGUCCAAACAACAACUAUCUUCAAUUUCUCCCCUCUUGGGAUGGGAUUUUAUCUUUUGAUUCUAUGCAUGUGUAGAAAACUAAAAAAAUGAAAAAGAAAAGUAUUAGUAAUACCCAAGCCCUUUAAUUUUUUUUCUCCGGUUUAUGCCUGAACUAUGCACAUAACUGACCUGUUCGAAACCGGCUUCAUUAUUUAUAAAGGCUUAUUCCUGCCUCUCAAUUUAUUCAGGUUUUCGACAUGUAAUGAUCGCAAACUUAAUGAGACCCUUCUUGUAUCCUUCUAUCAUCAAUGGCAUGGCCAAAGCUCCUUUUAUCGUUUUUUGUC
Molecule: long non-coding RNA, 1137 nt
Filed under: Vigna radiata
Lineage: Eukaryota; Viridiplantae; Streptophyta; Magnoliopsida; Fabales; Fabaceae
Description: long non-coding RNA (VRAD_LNC001409)
Source: RNAcentral